Molecule: unclassified non-coding RNA, 148 nt
Organism: Macaca fascicularis (crab-eating macaque)
Lineage: Eukaryota; Metazoa; Chordata; Mammalia; Primates; Cercopithecidae
Rfam family: Metazoan signal recognition particle RNA
About the family: The signal recognition particle (SRP) is a universally conserved ribonucleoprotein. It is involved in the co-translational targeting of proteins to membranes.
Source: Ensembl
GCCGGGCAUGGUGGUGGGCGCCUGUAAUCCCAGCUACUCGGGAGGCUGAGGCAGGAGAAUCCCUUGAACCCAGGAGGCUUAGGUUGCAGUGAGCUGAGAUUGUGCCACUGCACUCCAACCUGGGCAACAGAGUGAAAUUCUGUCUCAA